GAGUUGUAUUUGCAGAGGAUGUUUCGGGCGCGGCGCCGGUCUAAGUCCCUUGGAACAGGGCGUCACAGAGGGUGAGAAUCCCGUAUGUGACCGGCGACCAACCCCAUGUGAAACCCCUUCGACGAGUCGAGUUGUUUGGGAAUGCAGCUCAAAAUGGGUGGUAAAUUUCAUCUAAAGCUAAAUACCGGCCAGAGACCGAUAGCGCACAAGUAGAGUGAUCGAAAGAUGAAAAGCACUUUGGAAAGAGAGUCAAACAGUACGUGAAAUUGUUGAAAGGGAAGCGCUUGCAACCAGACCUGUCCGCGGGCGUUCCACCUCCGUUCUCGGGGGCCCAUUCGCCCGCGAUCAGGCCAGCAUCGGUUCGGGCGGCCGGAUAAAGGCCUUGGGAAUGUAGCUCCCCUCGGGGAGAACUUAUAGCCCUCGGUGCAAUGCGGCCAGCCCGGACCGAGGACCGCGCUUCGGCUAGGAUGCUGGCGUAAUGGUUGUAAGCGACCCGUCUUGAAACACGGACCAAGGAGUUAAUUAUCUAUGCGAGUGUUUGGGUGUCAAACCCAUGCGCGUAAUGAAAGUGAACGGAGGUGAGAA
RNAcentral lists this ribosomal RNA (585 nucleotides) under Lecidella patavina. RNAcentral describes it as "eukaryotic LSU rRNA". It matches the Rfam family "Eukaryotic large subunit ribosomal RNA", at positions 141 to 741 of the family's 3401-position model. The record is from RNAcentral. Lineage: Eukaryota; Fungi; Ascomycota; Lecanoromycetes; Lecanorales; Lecanoraceae.